RNAcentral lists this long non-coding RNA (749 nucleotides) under Gallus gallus (chicken). RNAcentral's name for it is "lncRNA (ENSGALG00010002191.1)". The record is from RNAcentral. Lineage: Eukaryota; Metazoa; Chordata; Aves; Galliformes; Phasianidae.
GUAAAGAAUGAUAGCUGGAAAGUGAGGUUUCCAUAUUCAGAAAGAAAUAUCUCGUGUCCUCGUAUUGCAGAUUUUUUUUUUCCCUUUUUCAAUAACCUCUUCACAUCUUCUUCACCUUUAUCUUACAGGUUUUCAGCGGUUGUGUGAAAAUCAGCUCAGAACCUGUUUGUUUCUUCCUGUGGGUGCUCUCAGUGUUUCAAGCCCAGGGCCUCCAAGGAGUGGCAAGGCAAUGCCAGAGCGAUGAAGGCUUGUGAUUCAACCUGCCGGUGUGUGAAAGAUCCAAAGAGAUGAAAAAUGUUUCUUCCUUUCAGAAAUGCUGAUGUUCUUCAGGCGUAUUGAAGUGGAGCUGUACUCUAUCCAGACACUGAACAGAACCUGGAAAUGACGAUGAUAGUGAUUAAAAGGAAUGUCUCAGAUGGAAGCAAGUGUACCAGCAGUCCUGAGUGACACCUUUGGGUCAAUUUCCUGGCAUAGAUCAAUAUAAGCAUAGCACUUUAUGUGCAUUUUUGCUGUUUCGUUUUGUUUUUUUUUUUUUUUGCCAUCUUCAACAUACCCCAAAUAUCCCAAUUUCUGCCAUUACAAUUCUUUAUAAACUUGCAAAUUCAUAAAUCCUGAAGCCAAAAAUUGUUUGCUUAGUCUCAGAAGAUGGCACGUAUGUCCUGGAAAUUUGCAUUUUAGAACGGAAUUAAAUUGAAAAGCUCUGGGAAGCUGUAUGGACCUGUCGAUUUCCAUCACAAAUUAGAAAGAGA